Long non-coding RNA from Periophthalmus magnuspinnatus, 3790 nucleotides. RefSeq lists it as uncharacterized. The record is from RefSeq and is a predicted model, not a curated record. The transcript has 8 exons. NCBI's taxonomy places the organism in Eukaryota, Metazoa, Chordata, Actinopteri, Gobiiformes, Gobiidae.
GAGCGCGUGGUCGUGAGCACAUGGAAGUGCGGUCGAGAUUUGUGUCUGGGAGACGCGACAGAUCUGGAAUAUUCAGGAAUAUAAAGCACCAUACAGAAGUAAGAAAAGACAUCGGACUGGCAGGCCAUGUGUGAAGGGCCCUUGGUGAGUGUUGGACGGUGAGGGGGUCCUGGGACGUCCUCUGAAGCCCUGGUCCUGUCCUCGCGCUACCAUGUUGUCACUCCAGUUAUCUGCAGGAAAGAAUGCACCAUGCCAUUAAUGAGGUGGAUUUUUGCAGACCACCCCUCCUCUUUCUCUUUCUGUCUGUCUCUUUGUCUCUGUCUCAGUCUCCACUGCUGCUGAAGACUGAAGACAUGAACUGUACAGGGUCAUGCAAUGGCAGCUGCUGGUUCCUGCCCUCCUCUCGGCUCUGACCGGAGUGCACUGGAUGUGGUCAGCUGAGUUGAAUGCAGCGUCACGCGUCGGAUCCCACGCACAAUCACUACAAGACUCAGGUCAUGAAUGAAUGAUCGGGGGGGAUGCCCAAAGAAGUGCUCUGUCCCUCAUGUGUGACCUCAUAGUGCCCGCUCCGAGGCAGGUUCCCGCUCCCUCCCCUCUCUUUUGAUGUGGCCCAGUGUUUGUUCACCAGCGCCAGCGGUCUGACGGCCCAUUCACACACGGGACACUUGCUAAAUCCCUGAGCGCAGCCCGGCCAGCAGCCCCAUUGUGUAACCAUGACGCUGGAGAUCUUGUAUGUGAGCGACUUCCCCUACAGCGGUGUGUGCAUGGUAAAAAGUGCCCAGACAUGCUGCAGCUGCAGCAGUGGAGCAGAUCAUUUACUGUUUAUGAAGUCUGCAAAUCAUCAUGAAACAAGCAAACACAGGUGGAAUAAGGGCAUUGAAGAGGACGAUUGACUUACGUGUUGUUCCUGAACCAUCCUUUUAACACUCCUUACAACAUAACAUAAACUACAAUAAUUUAAUAUAAAUAUUUAGGUCCUGUGAUACAUCUUCGUAGAGACAGGCAACUGGCAGAACAUCCACCAGAAAAGUAACACAGUGCACCUUUAAAUAUUAUAAUAUUCAAACGGGGGGGUGCUAUCAGUAGUGCUCUUUAGUUGUUGGUCAGUACUGUCAUUUUAACUGCAUUCAUUAACAGCACAUUCAUGGUUAGGUCAUUACCACGCCCAUUACUAUGCUAUGUAGACAUUUCUAAAAGUCAUACUGCAAUAAAUUACAAUAAUUUUAAUAUAAAUAUUUAGGUAUUGUGAUUUAUUUAAAUAAAUUCUCUGGGUAUGCAUUAGGCUACUUUCUCAUGCAUUAUAUAUAUUAAGACAACUGGGUGCCAUAUGACUUUCACAUUUCACUCCAAAGUGUACGGAAAUUGCACAAACAUUUGGGUAUUGAAAUUUCGUAUCUUUUUUUUUUUUUAUAUAUUGAGUACCUUCACUCUGACUCAUUGCUAGGGGAAGUCUGACUUGCAUGUACGCAUAUGUGCUAGUUAAACUCUCCAUUCAUUUGGGGACUUCCCUCGACUCUACAAUACUCUCUGUUCUGCUUGUUGCCAGUUAAAAAUGUCACUCAUUAUUAUCAGUAUGCAUAGAUUUGGUUGUAUUGUUGCAGUCAUUUGAAGGCGAUGCUGUCCAAUGAGUUCUCAGUGGGGAGGCGGAGUUGUGAAUGCCCUCCGUGCUUACACAGAUGCUGCCGUUUAGACAAGGGCAUGAGAAAGGUGAGGGAGGAAAAGAUCAGAAUCUGUGUGGGUUUCUAAAUAGCGUAUCGUUGCUAUAUGUAUGUCAUAUCUAGGAUUAUCUUGAUUUCAUUUGGGAGGUUCAGGGAAGGUCAUUAUUGAUAUUUAUUAAAACGUGUUCUGGUUGAAAUUACACAAGAUAUUUUGCAUCUAUUUGUGACUUUUUAUGCCUCUGAAAAUGUUGUUUCCAAGAUGUCAAUACUAAUUUCUUGUAUUAUAAUAACUAAAACAUAAUCUGAAAAAUAAAAUUGUUGGCUAUCCAUUUUUACGCGAAGGGUCUGCCACCUGCUCGUCGCUAUGGAGAUGUACCGUAAUUGCUUUGCCUGGGAUUUUCAUAGUAUAGUAAGGCAACCCCACUCACUCACUGCAUGAAUGUAUGUUUUUCAAGGUAUUUCUGAUCAAUAAAUCACCUCUAAUUGAAUAAGAUAAGUUGCAACAAGAUAAAUUCAAGCAAAUGCCACAUCCUCCACUAGAAACUUACAUAGUGCACCUUAAAAAAAAUAAUAAACAGCAUUUAUUUUUCAUCAUGCUAAAAAACCCCAAAGUAACCAAGCUAACUAAUCUACUUGUAAACAACAACUAAGUGGCCUGGGAAUUUUACCAGUGACUCAGGGUGUGUGAAAAUUCGUCAAACAAAGCACCACUUGACUGCUGCUGCCUCCACAUUUGACAUUUCAAUCAUAACAAACUGCAUGUACCAAGCACAUGAGAGCCCUAUGGAAAGUACUCAUUUUUAGCAUGUAAAUGGCUGCAUCAGAAAACCUCACCAUGUUGAUUUUAAUGUGGUAAACCGCUCUUCUCUGCAGACUUAUCACGCUCAUCAAUACAAGUUCAUUUGUCGCUUGAGUUGUGACACACUUCUAGGAACAAAGUCUUCAGCGAAAAACCUGCUAGUUCUUUGAAACCCAAAAUAAACCCAGUGGCAGUUAGAUCUUAACACUCACGACUAUAUAUAAAGGCCCGAGGUUAAACACAGGAAUCCAAAAGGUACAGCCUCCUCAUCAUAAACCAAUCAAAGGUUAGUUUGUUAAGGUGUAAAUUAAAGGCGCUGUGCCACAUGUUUACUGUCUUAAAAAAAGUGAAAACAGAAAUAGUUCAAUUUAAACGGUUUGCAGUGGUUAUGAAUUAUUUUUCACUGACUUAAUAUGCAUUCCUAAUUAUUCACAGCGAUGACUUAUAAGUACCAGACCAGAGGGAUGUUAGCCACAAUUCAACAACUAACAUGCUAAUCUGCACUUCCUGAUUCAUGGACCAGAAAACACUUUAUAAUUGAAUGCAGACAGUACAAAGUGUGCGUAAUUAGACCUCACAAGCUGCUUAACCAAGACAAGACAAAUUUUGCUCAAAUAUGUAAAAAAAAAAAAUCAGGUACAGGCCCCUUAAGUCUCUUGGGAGUGAACAGGUCAGCAGUUUGGCUUAUCAUUUUUGGAGAUGCAGUUAAACUUGGAUUAAUUGCGAGUUUGCAGUCUGUCUGUGGAGUGGCAGAGGUGUUGGGGGAGCGUUAAAGAUUAGCAUUGCAAAUAGUAACAGCAGACUGGCAUUUAAAUGGGAAUUAUUAAUGAGACUGGGGUUUGAAGAUGUGCAUUCGCUUCACAAAUGAACGUUGUGGGUUGAUCGGGUCAGAGAAAUGUGCAGUGCAAUCAAAGUAUGUUCUGAUACAAAACAUAGCUUUUUAUGUUAUAAUUAUCCACAUGAUUUGGAAUAUUACAGCAAUUUGUAAGGUCAAUAGCCUGGAGUAUUGGGGGCUGGGUUGUUCUAAGGCUGCUAACAUAGCCUUUGGUGCCCAGAGUCAAGACUAAACAUGGGGAAUCAGCGUUUCAGUUGACAGGCCUCCACUUUGACAGUGUUUAUAUCCAGGCUCAAAAUGGUUCUGUUUAGCUGUGCUUAUGACUGAAAGUGUUUUUAUUCUGCACUCUUCGCUUUUAAUGUUCAUUUUGUGAUGAUUAUUUAUGUUUUGAUUUGUUUGCAUUGGGAUUUUAAUGUAUUUCUUAUUCUGUAAACCACUUUGAAUUACGUCGUGUAUGAAUUGUGCUCUACAAAUAAACUUAUCUUGUCUUGCCUUUUG